This 258-nucleotide unclassified non-coding RNA is filed under the name uncultured fungus. RNAcentral's name for it is "partial contains 5.8S ribosomal RNA, internal transcribed spacer 2, and large subunit ribosomal RNA". The record is from RNAcentral. Lineage: Eukaryota; Fungi.
AACGCACAUUGCGCCCGCUAGUAUUCUGGCGGGCAUGCCUGUUCGAGCGUCAUUUCAACCCCUCGGGCCCCACGGGCCCGGCGUCGGGGGCACCGCCCGCGAGGGCGGCCCCUUAGAGACAUUGGCGGACCCCCCGCGGAAUCCGAGCGCAGUAACUACCAUUCUCGCUGUGGAGGACCGGGCCGGCGCCCUGCCGUAAAACCCCCAACAUAUCCAAAGGUUGACCUCGGAUCAGGUAGGAAUACCCGCUGAACUUAA